GUGGGGAAUAUUGGGCAAUGGGCGAAAGCCUGACCCAGCAACGCCGCGUGAAGGAAGAAGGUUUUCGGAUCGUAAACUUCUAUCCUUGGUGAAGAUAAUGACGGUAGCCAAGAAGGAAGCCCCGGCUAACUACGUGCCAGCAGCCGCGGUAAUACGUAGGGGGCAAGCGUUGUCCGGAAUGAUUGGACGUAAAGGGCGCGUAGGCGGCCCGGUAAGUCUGAAGUGAAAGUCCUGCUUUUAAGGUGGGAAUUGCUUUGGAUACUGUCGGGCUUGAGUGCAGGAUAGGUAAGCGGAAUUCCCGGUGUAGCGGUGAAAUGCGUAGAGAUCGGGAGGAACACCAGUGGCGAAGGCGGCUUACUGGACUGUAACUGACGCUGAGGCGCGAAAGUGUGGGGAGCAAACAGGAUUAGAAACCCCUGUAGUCC
RNAcentral lists this ribosomal RNA (425 nucleotides) under uncultured bacterium. RNAcentral describes it as "partial 16S ribosomal RNA". It matches the Rfam family "Bacterial small subunit ribosomal RNA", at positions 354 to 796 of the family's 1533-position model. The record is from RNAcentral.